Molecule: ribosomal RNA, 253 nt
Filed under: uncultured bacterium
Lineage: Bacteria
Description: partial 16S ribosomal RNA
Rfam family: Bacterial small subunit ribosomal RNA
Source: RNAcentral
AACGUAGGUGGCGAGCGUUAUCCGGAUUUACUGGGCGUAAAGCGCGUGUAGGCGGCUAAGUAAGUCGGGCGUGAAAUCCCACGGCUCAACCGGGGAAGUGCACUCGAAACUGCAAGGCUAGAGUCUCGGAGAGGAUCGUGGAAUUCUCGGUGUAGAGGUGAAAUUCGUAGAUAUCGAGAGGAACACCGGUGGCGAAGGCGGCGAUCUGGACGAUGACUGACGCUGAGACGCGAAAGCGUGGGGAGCAAACAGG